This 2076-nucleotide ribosomal RNA is filed under the name Plasmodium falciparum MaliPS096_E11. RNAcentral's name for it is "Eukaryotic small subunit ribosomal RNA". It matches the Rfam family "Eukaryotic small subunit ribosomal RNA". The record is from Rfam by way of RNAcentral. Lineage: Eukaryota; Apicomplexa; Aconoidasida; Haemosporida; Plasmodiidae.
UAAUAUAUUGAAACUGCGAACGGCUCAUUAAAACAGUUAUAAUCUACUUGAUGUUUUUAAUAUAAGGAUAACUACGGAAAAUCUGUAGCUAAUACUUGUGAAAAUACCUUUUGAUAUAUACAUAUGUAUGUAUCAUUAAGGUAUGUAUUUGUUAGAUAUAAGAAUAAAAUAAAUAUAAUUGAAUUAUAACAAAGAAGAAACACAUAAAAUAUGUGUAUUAUCAAUCGAGUAUCUGACCUAUCAGCUUUUGAUGUUAGGGUAUUGACCUAACAUGGCUAUGACGGGUAACGGGGAAUUAGAGUUCGAUUCCGGAGAGGGAGCCUGAGAAAUAGCUACCACAUCUAAGGAAGGCAGCAGGCGCGUAAAUUACCCAAUUCUAAAAAAGAGAGGUAGUGACAAGAAAUAACAAUACAAUAUCGAAAAAUGAUUUUGUAAUUGGAAUGAUAGGAAUUUACAAGGUUCCUAGAGAAACAAUUGGAGGGCAAGUCUGGUGCCAGCAGCCGCGGUAAUUCCAGCUCCAAUAGCAUAUAUUAAAAUUGUUGCAGUUAAAACGUUCGUAGUUGAAUAUUAAAGAAUCCGAUGUUUCAUUUAAACUGGUUUGGGAAAACCAAAUAUAUUAUAUAUUUUGCUUUGUUCAAAAUAAGGUUUUCUAAUAAAUUAUGUUUUUAUCAGAUAUGACAGAAUCUUUUUUAAAAUCUCUUCAAUAUGCUUUUAUUGCUUUUGAGAGGUUUUGUUACUUUGAGUAAAAUUAAGUGUUCAUAACAGACGGGUAGUCAUGAUUGAGUUCAUUGUGUUUGAAUACUACAGCAUGGAAUAACAAAUAUGAAUAAGCUAAUUAUUUUUUUUUUUUCAUUAUUUUUUUUGAUAUUCUUAUUAGCUUAGUUACGAUUAAUAGGAGUAGCUUUGGGGGCAUUCGUAUUCAGAUGUCAGAGGUGAAAUUCUAAGAUUUUCUGGAGACGGACUACUGCGAAAGCAUUUGCCUAAUCUAUUUCCAUUAAUCAAGAACGAAAGUUAAGGGAGUGAAGACGAUCAGAUACCGUCGUAAUCUUAACCAUAAACUAUACCGACUAGGUGUUGGAUGAAUAUAAAAAAUAUAUAAAUAUGUAGCAUUUCUUAGGGAAUGUUGAUUUUAUAUUAGAAUUGCUUCCUUCAGUACCUUAUGAGAAAUCAAAGUCUUUGGGUUCUGGGGCGAGUAUUCGCGCAAGCGAGAAAGUUAAAAGAAUUGACGGAAGGGCACCACCAGGCGUGGAGCUUGCGGCUUAAUUUGACUCAACACGGGAAAACUCACUAGUUUAAGACAAGAGUAGGAUUGACAGAUUAAUAGCUCUUUCUUGAUUUCUUGGAUGGUGAUGCAUGGCCGUUUUUAGUUCGUGAAUAUGAUUUGUCUGGUUAAUUCCGAUAACGAACGAGAUCUUAACCUGCUAAUUAGCGGUAAGUACACUAUAUUUUUAUUUGAAAUUGAAUAUAGGUAAUUAUACAUGUUUAUUCAGUGUUCAAAUUAGGAUAUUUUUUUAUUAAAAUAUUCUUUUCCCUGUUCUACUAUAAUAAUUUGUUUUUUUUUACUCUAUUUCUCUCUUCUUUUAAGAAUGUACUUGUUUGAUUAAAUAAAGCUUCUUAGAGGAACAGUGUGUAUCUAACACAAGGAAGUUUAAGGCAACAACAGGUCUGUGAUGUCCUUAGAUAAACUAGGCUGCACGCGUGCUACAAUGAUAUAUAUAACAAGUUGUUAAAAAUGUACUUAUAAAUAAGUGUGUACAGUUUUUCCUGUACUGAAAAGUAUAGGUAAUCUUUAUCAGUAUAUAUCGUAAUUGGGAUAGAUUAUUGCAAUUAUUAAUCUUGAACGAGGAAUGCCUAGUAAGCAUGAUUCAUUAGAUUGUGCUGACUACGUCCCUGCCCUUUGUACACACCGCCCGUCGCUCCUACCGAUUGAAAGAUAUGAUAAAUUGUUUGGAUAUGAAUUAAAAUAAUGAAAUUUUAUAUUUCUGAUUUUUUCUAGAAGAACUGUAAAUCCUAUCUUUUAAAGGAAGGAGAAGUCGUAACAAGGUUUCCGUAGGUGAACCUGCGGAAGGAUCAUUA